AAGUCGUAACAAGGUUUCCGUAGGUGAACCUGCGGAAGGAUCAUUAACACGUAUCCAACGUUAAACCCCCCUGUGAAUUUUAUCGCUGCUCUUGAACAGAUUUUGAUUCAGGGACCUCUAACCCCGGUAGAUCUAUAGCUCAAUUUGAGCGCUUGUGCAAGUGGCCUGGUUUCCCCAAGCAGCUAGUGUCUGAAAGUGUCGCUGGUUGUGUAAGGAAAACGCUUUACGAUCGCUGGAGGCCGAACACCGGCCGGUGACCGGGCUGCUGUGGCUUUAUGCCCCCUAUAUUUACCCUACCUUAACUCGGGUCAGGAAACUGCUUCCCAUCAACCGAACAACUGUUAACAAUGGAUAUCUUUCUCGCAAC
Molecule: unclassified non-coding RNA, 367 nt
Filed under: fungal sp.
Lineage: Eukaryota; Fungi
Description: partial internal transcribed spacer region
Rfam family: Eukaryotic small subunit ribosomal RNA (bases 1-46)
Source: RNAcentral